GCUUGUUGCUUUUGUGCUAGAUUCUCUGUCGUGGGGUAUAAGAAGAGCGAUGAGCGACGCUGAUAGAUGAGCUCCCUUGAGGUUGACUUUAAACCUCAUGUCUGAUGUGCUGGUUAUCAUGAGAGACUUUCUCUGAAAUCAUCCAUCUGUGUUCUGUGGAGUGAAAAAUGAUGAACAGCUCUGUACCUGUCUGGGAUGCUCAGUUUGCCACUUUUUACAAAAUCCGACAAUGCUUAAUAUAUUCCAAGGGUGCAGGACAGAUGAAGAUUAUAAAGACGGGAAAGUGAAGAAGAAAGAAGGUUACGAAGAGCUCAAUGCUGCUUCUGCAGCCCAGCCUACAGGCUCACAGCUGGGAGGCACUUCUGCUCUGCCCUGGGCCUUUCUUGGAGGAGUC
Molecule: long non-coding RNA, 394 nt
Organism: Carassius carassius (crucian carp)
Lineage: Eukaryota; Metazoa; Chordata; Actinopteri; Cypriniformes; Cyprinidae
Exons: 4
Source: RefSeq, a predicted model, not a curated record